GACGAACGCUGGCGGCGUGCCUAAUACAUGCAAGUAGAACGCACAGUUUAUACCGUAGCUUGCUCCACCAUAGACUGUGAGUUGCGAACGGGUGAGUAACGCGUAGGUAACCUGCCUGGUAGCGGGGGAUAACUAUUGGAAACGAUAGCUAAUACCGCAUAAUAUUAAUUAUUGCAUGAUAAUUAAUUGAAAGGUGCAAUUGCACCACUACCAGAUGGACCUGCGUUGUAUUAGCUAGUAGGCGAGGUAACGGCUCACCUAGGCGACGAUACAUAGCCGACCUGAGAGGGUGAUCGGCCACACUGGGACUGAGACACGGCCCAGACUCCUACGGGAGGCAGCAGUAGGGAAUCUUCGGCAAUAGACGAAAGUCUGACCGAGCAACGCCGCGUGAGUGAAGAAGGUUGUCGGAUCGUAAAGCUCUGUUGUAAGAGAAGAACGGGUGUGAGAGUGGAAAGUUCACACUGUGACGGUAUCUUACCAGAAAGGGACGGCUAACUACGUG
RNAcentral lists this ribosomal RNA (505 nucleotides) under uncultured bacterium. Its description in RNAcentral is "partial 16S ribosomal RNA". It matches the Rfam family "Bacterial small subunit ribosomal RNA", at positions 28 to 507 of the family's 1533-position model. The record is from RNAcentral.